Molecule: RNA transcript, 3673 nt
Organism: Lutzomyia longipalpis
Lineage: Eukaryota; Metazoa; Arthropoda; Insecta; Diptera; Psychodidae
Gene: hrg
Gene name: poly(A) polymerase type 3
Exons: 6
Source: RefSeq, a predicted model, not a curated record
GCUGUCAAAGUUGUGUGAAAAAAGAAAAGAAAACCCAUCCAUUUCCAACUCCCGUGACUUCGGUGCAAUGUUUGAGGGUAAUUUGUGUGCAAAACAUUCGGAAAAAGUGUAGAAAGUGUAGGUAAACAGCCAAAUAAUUGAUUUGUCGUGAAAACUGCGUGAAAAUCAAACUCAGCAAGCUGGAAAAUUAAUGUGAAAACAAAUAGCGGUGCAUGUACACCUGAGAGUCACCCACAGGAGUUCCUCGGUCCUAUCCUUAGCAAAUACCUCAGGAUUUUGAAGCAGCUCGAAGGGAGGGGAAAAAUAAACAAAUAGAAAGAUGUGGACUUCUCAGGCGAAGUCAUCGGGAGGACAGGAGAAUGGUGGGAGUCCGCCGGUGAAGACAUUUGGUAUGACAUCGGCAAUCAGUAUGGCUGGACCGAAGCCCGAAGACUACGAAUUGUCGAAGGAUCUGGAGAAGACCCUUCAGCCAUUUAAUGUGUUCGAAACGGAAACAGAGCUCAAUCAUCGCAUGGAGAUCCUCGCGAAGCUCAAUACGCUCGUUAAGCAAUGGGUACGAGAUGUGUCAAUUGCAAAGAAUAUGCCUGAGCAGAUGGCAGAGAAGCUCGGUGGGAAGAUCUAUACAUUUGGCUCCUAUCGCUUGGGGGUACAUCACAAGGGGGCUGAUAUUGAUGCUCUAUGCGUGGCACCGCGCAAUAUUGAUCGCAAUGACUACUUCACAUCGUUCCUGGAUGUGUUGAAGAAGCAACCGGAAGUGACUGAAUGCCGUGCCGUGGAGGAAGCCUAUGUGCCGGUGAUAAAGAUGAAUUUUGACGGGAUUGAGAUUGAUUUGCUCUUUGCACGGCUCACGCUCAAGGAGAUCCCGGAAGAUUUUGAUCUACGUGAUGAUAUGUUGCUGAAGAAUCUCAACCCGAAGUGCGUGAGGAGUCUCAAUGGAUGCCGUGUUACGGAUGAAAUUCUCCGUCUUGUGCCGAAUAUUGAAAAUUUUCGUUUGGCCUUGCGUACGAUAAAGCUAUGGGCGAAACGUCAUGGGAUCUAUUCGAAUUCAAUGGGUUUCUUCGGUGGGGUGUCAUGGGCAAUGCUCGUGGCGCGAACGUGUCAACUGUACCCCAAUGCAAUUGCCUCAACACUCGUUCACAAAUUCUUCAUGGUUUUCUCACGAUGGAAGUGGCCCCAUCCGAUUUUGCUGAAGCAACCGGACAAUGUGAAUCUUGGCUUCCUCGUGUGGGAUCCACGUGUUAAUUCAUCCGAUCGUUAUCACCUAAUGCCAAUCAUUACACCCGCAUAUCCACAACAAAAUUCCACAUAUAAUGUGUCAAUAUCAACGAAGAAAAUCAUUUGCAAUGAAUUUGAACGUGGUAUGAAGGCAAUGGAUCUCAUUGUGCAGCGAAAAUUGUCAUGGAAGGCACUGUUUGAGGCACCGAGCUUCUUCUGUCAGUACCGUCACUUCAUUGUACUCCUCGUGAGUUCACAGAGUGCUGAAGAUCACCUCGAAUGGUGUGGGUUGGUUGAGUCAAAAGUACGGUGUCUCAUUCUCAAUUUGGAGCGAAAUUUGCACAUUAAUUUAGCCCAAGUCAAUCCAAAAUGCUUCGAUCAGGUGCCGUCCAAGACAUCAUCAGCCUUCUGUUCAAUGUGGUUCAUCGGUUUGGAGUUUCAACGUACGGAAAAUCUCAAUGUUGAUCUCACAGAGAGUAUACAAUCAUUCACGGAUCAUGUUCACAAACAUGCGCUCAACAUAAAAAUGCUGAAGGAAGGUAUGAAAAUUGAGGCGCGACAUGUGAAGAAGAAGCAGCUAAAUCAGUAUUUAGACCCGGAAUUUUUGCGUCGAGAACGGAAGCAUACGGAAAUGAUGGAAAUUGUGCAAGUUGAGAAGAAACGUGCGAUUACGGAGGAGUCAACGUCAUCGCAACCGGGUACACCGCAACAGGAGAAUCCCAAGAAGAGGAUGAGGUUAUCAGAAACCUUUGAUGAGAGCCCCCGAACAACGCCCAAUACGUCGGUAAAUGUAAUCAUGGAUGGUGAUCUGGGGGAUGAUGGACAAGAUGGGGGUGGUGAGAGGUGCAAUACAAUUGAGAAGGAGGCUACGGUGGAGCCAACAACGGCAGCGGGGGAAAAGGGUGAGACAACACCACAAACAACGGAAGUUAUGUGCUCGUGACAGGGAUGAUUGGAGGAGCAUCAUCAGACUGAUUCAAGUGAAGUUGCGGUGUUUACAUGAGACAGCGAGAGAGAGAGAGAGAUUCCAUGAUGAAGAAAAAAAAGAAAAUGUAAUUCUCAGAAAAAAAAAACAUUCACAUCCACCCCUUCCAACGUGAAGACAACAACCCUCAAAAUAUAUUCCCCGAAAUGUGUGCAGUGAGAGAACACCUUCACGCGUUUAGGCAUUGAAGGAUUAAGGAUUUUAUUUAAGAUUUAGCUUUAAGGAUUGAGGGACACUUAAGGAGUUUUUUUUUAAAUCAUAAAACAAAUAAUUUAUGAUAAAAAAAGAAGAGAAAGAAAUGUUGAUUGGAUGUGCGGAAGGAGGGAAAUAUUAAAGGGGUUACGUGGGUAGAAAGAAGAGAGAAUUUCAACCACCACCACCGGACAAUUUCACAUUAAAAAAAAAUAUUGGACGAUUAAAGAUGAAGAGGAUAAAUAUACAAGAGAGAGAGAGAUCCACAAAAAAAGGACAAAACACUGCAAACAUUCACAAAAAAAAAUUCGCUUAUUUUUUUCUUAAAUCACAAAAAAAUUCUCCCUUUGGUGUUUAAAGAAUUUUUAAAGAAGAAAAAAUCACCACACUGGAGUUUUUUUUUCUUUUAAAAAUAAUUAUUAAUUUUUAAUUUCAAUUCAAUUAACUUAAUCAACAAGAAAAUAUGCGUAAGAACUGGAUUAUUUUUCACACAUUUUACAAACAAGAAGAAAACGUAAUAGGAGAAAAUAAAUAUAAAAAUAAAUAUAUUUAGCAUUUUAGUAUAAUACAAAAAAAGGAGAAGUUUGAAUAAAAUAUUUAUAGGAUAAAAAUAAAUGGUUUUUUAGCAUUAUAGUCUCUCCCCAAAAUUAAUGAAUGUUCUUUCACGGUAUAAAUGUACUUUUCGUUUCAUGAAAAGUACAAUAAAUAUUCUUUUUUUUCACAAUGGAUUAGUGAGAAUUUAAUGAUGAAUUUCUUUUUUUUUUGUAGUAAGAAGUAUCUCGCGUUUUUUUUCUCUUUAUGUACAUAGAACAAUUUAUCGUGGAAAGAGAAAAAUUAAAUUAAAAAAAAUGAAUUAAAGGCAAGGUAGGAUUCUAAAGAAAAUUAAUUCUUAAAGCAAAAAGGUAAUUUUUCUUAAUUCAGGCAUAAAAAAAAUGAAGAAAUAAUCUCUCAGAGAAUUUUAGUGAGAUUGAAAAUGAAUUAUUUUUUGGAUUUGAAGAAAUUCGUGAAAUUUUCAUAAUGUAAAUAUAUUAUUAUAUUUUUUAUUAUUACAAAAAAGGCUUAUGGGGGCGAAUGAAAGAAAAUCAUUAAAAGUGUGGGAAUUGGAAAAAAAAUUCUAUAAAUUCUAAUUGAUUAAUUGAUAAGAAAAACUUUCCAUUUAUUGUCACAUCCAGUACAUUUCUUUUUAUUUUCAUACACACACAUUUAUUAAAAAAAAUAUAUUGUAAAAUUCGAUGUAUGAAUGAUUUAGAUUUCAAUAAAGAUUCUACCGCGUCAACAAAA